This is an RNA transcript of Loxodonta africana (African savanna elephant), 5924 nucleotides long. RefSeq lists it as uncharacterized. The record is from RefSeq and is a predicted model, not a curated record. Lineage: Eukaryota; Metazoa; Chordata; Mammalia; Proboscidea; Elephantidae. The transcript has 7 exons.
GUUAACUGCCAUAGGUUGGCCCUGACUCAUGGUGAUCCCAUGAACAAUGAACCAAAAGCUGCUUGAUAUGCAUGGGAAGCUAGGAUUCUACCACUGACCCAUCAGUGGCUUGGGGAAUUCCUUGGAAAUGCACAUUUUGGACCUCCCUUAGAUCUACUGAAUUAGCAGCUUUGAGGUUGGUGUUCAGAGAUUUGUGUUUUUCAACCCCCUGAGUGAUUCUGAUGCACACUCAGGCUUGAAGGAGUCUUUCAAGGAAUGGCCUGGACCUAGGAGACAAGGCUUAUGAGGAAAGCACUUUGACAUCAUUUCUGGGCCAUGAUGUUGUGGUCGGAACAUCUCACUCCAUUCAGCAUCCUCACAGCUCAUUCCUUCAGGAGUCCGUGGUCAUCUCCAGUUUUCACCUGAUGGUGUGUGUUCUCCACAAUCUGCCUGUGUCUCCAGCAUUCUCAUUCUCCUCUCUUGUCCACGGAUGAGUUCCUGGUGAUUGGUCCCAGGGACCCCAUUGUGACAGUGCUGGGUGAGGAAACCAUACUGCCUUGCUUCCUGUCGCAGGCCGUGAAUACAGAGAAUAUGGAGCUGCGGUGGUUGUGUUCCAGGUUCCCAGAAGCAGUGCUCAUCUAUCAGAACCAGCAGAAGGAGGAAGAGAUGCCCCACUAUGCAAGGUGGGCCUCGCCGGUGAGUGGUUUUCUCACCCGGGGGAAGGCUGCCGUUCACAUCAACAAGGUCCAGGUUUCUGAUGAUGGGCUGUACACCUGCUCCUUCAAAAAGGGAGACUCCUAUGAAGAGGCCACUUUGGAGGUGAAGGUGACAGGUGUGGGCUCUGCCCCUCAAGUGCACAUUGAAGAGCCGGAGGAAGAUGGGGUCUGUGUGAUCUGUAUGGUUUCUGGGUGCUUUCCAAAGCCCCAGGUUCAGUGGAGAGACCUUAGCGGAGAGAAGUUGCUAGCUUUCUCUGAGGCCCAUGCCCAAGACGCUGAUGGGCUGUUCCAUGUGGAGGCCUCGCUGGUGGUGAGAGACAGCUCUGUGGGGAACGUGACCUGCUCCGUCCUCAACCCCAUCCUGGGCCAGGAGAAGGCGAAGGCCAUUUUCAUUCCAGAGCCCUUCUUCCCUCAGGUCUCUCUCUGGACUCUGGCUUUUGCUGUAAGCCUGACCAUCCUGGUGCUCCUCAUCCUUGGGACUGGCUUUUUUCUGAAGAACGAACUUUCAGCAAAGGUGCAGGCCCAGCAGGAACAGGAGUUUCUUCGGCUGCAUAAGGAGGAGGACAGGCUGAAACCCAGGGAGGCACUGAAGGCCAGAGGUAAGGCAGGGGAGGGACGAGGCUGGUGAGGGCAGAGCUGGUGCUGAGAGGGAACAGCUGACAGCAGGACCUGAGCCUCUGGCUGUGGCCUCCGGGGAGACCCACGGCCCCUGCCCAAAGCAGGAGGCUCAGGUCUGGAAAAGGCAGCUGGAGCCGUGGAGGCUUAGAUGGAUCUGGACGGAAAACUUUCUCCAGCGUAUAGUGAGGGUCUUUUUGUGGGUUCUCCAGGCACACACAGUCUUUCCUUUUCUCCAUGUGAGAGCUCAUGCUUAUUUUCUCUCUUUCAGAUCAGCUCCAGACAGAGCUGGGUAAGUUCUUCUCUCCCUCUUGUGGUCUCUGUGUCCCUUUGGCAGGGGAGAUCCUGGUCCUUAGCUCACCUCAUUUCCUGCGUGUUCCUUUCAGACUGGAGGAAGAAGGUUUACCAGGCUGGGGGUGCAGAUUACAGGUUGCUCCUGGGAGUGUUACCGGAAUAAGGUUCUCGCCCCUCGCUGGUCAAGAAUGAGCAGCCUGGAGGAAGGCCCAGCUGUAUGCAGAUUGGCAGAAGUAGCAGUUUCAGACCUGCUCUGUCACUCUGGACCCACGUUCUGCCCAUCCCAACCUGUCCAUCUCUCAGGAAAAGACGAGUCUGAUCUGGACGGACAUCUGUGAGAACCUGAAUGAUGACAGAUGCAGUGUAUUGGGUCUCAAGGGUAUCACUUCAGGGCAAUGUUACUGGGAGGUGGAGACCAGAUAUGGAGACAAAAGCGAAUGGGUUGUAGGGUGUCCAUCGGGAAGAUGUGGACAGGUAAGACUGGUUCAGAGAGUGCCCAGAAAAGGGGUUCUGGGUUGUGGGACAGUUUGCAGAGGCAUAUUGUACCUGUACUACUCCUCAGACAUGGCUAACCCUUAGGCAAGCUCCCUGCAGGAUGGGGAUUUUCCUAGACUAUGAUGGUGGGGAUAUCUCUUUCUACAACAUGACUGAUGGGUCCCACAUUUUCUCCUUCUCUCAGACUUUCUUCUCUGGGACCCUCUUUCCAUAUUUCAUGUUUAAGUCUGGAGACAUAUCCCUGACUAUCUGUUCCAUGGUCCAUGGGCCCAAGGGGCUCCCUGUGCCCCUUAACAAAUCUCCUUCUUCUUUGAUAGAGCAGCUGAGCCCUUCAGGGGAGGGGUUGAACUCUGGCUCUGGUGGGGAUGUUGUUCUCCCAGGGUCUGAAUCUCCAUUACUGUCCCGCAACUCCAAGGCUGUGCCUCCAUGGGAUACAUCUCUGUGCCUGUUUCCUCACUAUGGCUCUUUUUGGGGCUGCAGACUCCAUAAGGUGAAAGACUCUGAUUGAGUGCUGGAAGGCACUGGGAGUCAUGCCUUUGUGCUUUUGGAUGCAGACUACUGAGGGAGUGUGUGGCUCUGAGAAUCGCCAGUUCCUAUCUUGUGUUUCAAUAGCUAGAAGAAAAAAACCGACUUGUUUGAUCUGGUUGAGUAUAGGUAGAGUUUGGCUAUGGGAGGUUCUUUUCCUUUGAUAAUGAAAAAUAAGCUUUGUGAACAUUUUAUACUUUUUGUAUAUGAAAGGAUAGGGACUGAAUCCCUCUGCAGUAUAGAGUUUGCUUUAUUGAACUUGAUUUUGUGCAGAGUGUAUGGCCCUAGUUCUAUUUUGGGGAGCGUCUAGGCAAUCUGGAAACCCUGGUGGCAUAGUGAUUAAGAGUUCAGCUGCUAACAAAAAGUCAGCAGUUCAAACCCACCAGGUACUCCCUGGACACCGUAUGUGGCAGUUCUACCCUCUCCUGUAGGGUUGCCAUGAGUUGGAAUCGACUCAACGGCAGUGGUUUUUUGGGUUUGGGCAUCCUGACCAGAAAAUGUGAAUAUUUAAAAUUUUCCAAGUAAACGGUUGGUUGAUGAACUUCUAAGAUGAGAGAAGUCUAUAUUCACUUCGUAGACUUAUUCUUGGACGGCUGAAACACACCUAUUUUCCCAAAUCUUCUGUACAUUUCUGCUCCUCAUGAACAUACUGUGUUGUGUUAAUUCAGGAAAUUAAGAAGAAGGAUCUGGGUCCUGUUUUGGUCAACACUAGGUGGACUGAAGAGAAUUGAUAGCCAAAUUAAGAUGUAAAUGGACAAGAGAAUUUUCAGGAGCAGGAAACUGAGCAUUGUCUCAGUUAUCAGUGUAUUGCCUCUUACUACCUCCAAGUCUGAUGCUCGUGGUAAAUGGAAAGCCACAGCAAUGAAAAAGGGACAGGACUAUUGAGUACUGAGACCCUUCAAGAAUGAAGGUGUGAUCAUUCCACCAGGUAAGGAACUCUGAGCUGCUGAGGUUCUGGCUGAGGGUGGGGGAAACACGGAAUGGAAAGUAGAAGAAGAAAGUCAAAGAUAUCAGCUCUAAUUUUGUGGCCAGCUGCAGAAACAAGGAAUAAAAGCUUUGCAUAUUUUAACUUUGUUUCUCAUAUGUAUGUGUUUGUAUAUAUAAACCAUUUUCUUCUCUGUCUUUCUUCCCUUUAUUAUUUUAUGUAGAAGUUGUUGGUGGUUAUGUUUAUUAUAUAGAACAUGAUAACAGAAUAUCCAGGGAACUGUGACAGAAUUUAAGGAGUAAAUAAUAUAGUGGUGAUGGAUUUUAUGACUGAAAGUUUUUUGGGAAAAUGGUGAGAACUUCCUCACCUGUAAGGAUAUCUUUGCCUUGAUAGGUGAAAACAUAAUUCUGUUGCAUGGAAGUUCCAAUGUGUGUAAAAUGGAGUAUAUGGAAGCUGAGUAGCCGAAGUGGCUAUUUUCAAUUUAUUGCCUCUCAGUUCCAAAUUCAUACUGUCUUUGCCCUGCUUUGUGAUACUGCAGCUGGACCGGUAAACAUUUCUUCCUUCAAAUGGGCAUGAUGUUAGACCUUGUCAGGACACUGGGAAUACACUGCAAAACAUAGCAGAGGAGGAACGCCUCUUCCUGGUUCUGAGCUUUUCUUCUUCAUCCCAUGGUGUGAAGGCUCAGUUUUGCUCACCUUUUGGUGAAUUUGUCAGCUUUCCAGGGAGUCUUAAUAGCACCCUGGGGGAAGCUUCCCAGGGAUUCUUGCUGGAACCCCAGUGGGAGGUUUCCUGGCACCAGCCCUGGCCUGUGGCGUAUUAGCAAACUUCUUCAUCAUCCAGUGGCCUGCAGUCCCUGUUUUUCCAAUGAGUUCUGAACGUCAGGCUUGGCAGGGGGCCCUCUCCCAAAUUUCUUCCCUUGGUGCGUUCUGUGCUUCAGCCCUAGAGGUAGUGGCUGUUCCCUAUAGCUGCCAUUUCUGUUUUCUUUAGAGCUUUCUUUUACUUCUUUUAGUAGUUAAGAAACUUUUCCUAGUUAACAAUUUUUUGAACCAUUGUUUGUUUAGUAGUGUGUUGUUAAACUUUCACAUAUUUCAUAUAUUCCGGUUUUCUUUCUAUUAUUAAGUUGUAGUUUCAUUCCGUUGCGGUCAGAAAAGAUACUUUGUAGGAUUUCAGACUCGCUUUGUGCCCUAAGAUAUGGUCUAUCCUGGAGAAUGGUCUAUAUGCACCAGAGAAGAAUGUAAAUUUUGCUGUUAGUCAACAAUUUUUUAUAUUAAAAUUUUCUGUCUUCGUAUGACUGAUACGGCUUCUGUCUCCUUACUGGACUCUGAACUGAUAUAAGCCUGUAAACCCUAAUGGUGCUUAAAGAAGGGCACAAGAUUUCGUACAGUAUGUGGGAAAGGGUACUUGAGGCACUUAGAAUUUUAUUAAAAAGUUUCAUUCCCACAAUAAUGUCAUGGGAAUUAUAUUCAUUGGGGUCCUUGUUGAGUUUUAAGUGUGCUCUAUACUCUCUGUGUGUUAAUACAAGGAGCUCUGGUGGUGCAAUAGUUAAAUGCUUGGUUGCUAACUGAUAGUUCAGUGGUUCAAACCCACCAGCAACUCUGUGGGAGAAAAGACCUGGUGAUCUUCUCCUGUAAAGAUUACAGCCUAGGAAACCCUGUGAGGCAUUUGUACUUUGUUCUGUAGGGUCACUAUGAGUAGGAACAAGCUGGACGGCACACAACAACAACAUCAACAGCAUGUGUUAAUAUAAUGUCCCUAGGUGGUGCAAAUUAUUUGUGCUUGACUGGUUACCUAGAAGUUGGAGGUUUGAACCCACCCUGGUGUACUGCAGAAGAAAAGCCCUGGUGAUCUGUUUCCAUUAAGAUUACAACCAAACAAACCCUGUGGACCAUUUCAACUCUGUAACACAUGGGGUCACCAGGAGUCAGAACUGACUUGACAGCAACUAACAAUAAUAAUGUGCUAAGAUAUUGUCUGUCAUAUUUAUUCCCCUUUUCAUUUAGCUUGUACCUUUACGACACUGUAUUGCUUUCAGUGAGAAGGGAAAGGUAUGUCGAUGAUACGAUUUUAUCCACACAAAUAGAAGUGCGUAAAAAUGGCACGGGAGCAGUGUCUGACCUCCUCUAACUUCACGAGGGGGAAGGAGAAUCAAGAUCAGCAGCCCAACCAUCCGCGAUACUCCACUGCUCCUACCCUGUCUGGAGCAAGGGAGAAUGAAGAAAACCAAAGACAUAGGGAAAGAUUAGUAUAAGGGACUCAUGGACCACAAGUACCACAGCCUCCACCAGACUGAGUCCAGCACAACUGGAUGGUGCCCGGUUACAACAACUUACUUCUCUGACAGGGAUCACAGUAGAGGGUCCCGAACGGAGCUGGAG